GUGGAAUCACUAAUUUUGCUUUUCAUUUGUUUCAUUUACUGAGACAUUUUUAAGAGAUGCUUCCAGCUUCCUUUUGGGUCCCUUGGAGAAUGCACAAAUUGGCCAUUAUCUCAGCGGCUCUCUCUCCAAAGAUGGUAAAGAGUUUCAGAUGAAAGAAGUCCAGACUGCUCCUCUCUGCCAAAGAAAACAAAUCCAAUAUCUCUCUUAUGGGUUGUUUUGCCAAACUCCAAAAGGAAGAGUGUAUUAAAAUGGUGUCUUCUGCAUUAAGUCUUUAAACAUAGAAUUAAAGUAAUCAUAAGCUUCUCCACUUUUUUGGGUCUCAUAAUUUUUUCAGGUGAUACGUGAAAAGAUGUCAGAAGACUCUUCGUGGCCACCUCAGUUUCACAGGCACCUGCAGACAUGGAUCCCUCUCCUUUCCCCCUCCUCCAC
This 429-nucleotide long non-coding RNA is filed under the name Homo sapiens (human). Its description in RNAcentral is "HSALNT0138328". Lineage: Eukaryota; Metazoa; Chordata; Mammalia; Primates; Hominidae. The record is from RNAcentral.